This 253-nucleotide ribosomal RNA is filed under the name uncultured bacterium. RNAcentral's name for it is "partial 16S ribosomal RNA". It matches the Rfam family "Bacterial small subunit ribosomal RNA", at positions 524 to 776 of the family's 1533-position model. The record is from RNAcentral.
UACGUAGGGUGCAAGCGUUGUCCGGAAUUAUUGGGCGUAAAGAGCUCGUAGGCGGCUUGUCGCGUCGGCUGUGAAAACCUGGGGCUCAACUCCGGGCUUGCAGCCGAUACGGGCAAGCUAGAAUUCGGUAGGGGAGACUGGAAUUCCUGGUGUAGCGGUGAAAUGCGUAGAUAUCAAGUGGAACACCAGUGGCGAAGGCGAGUCUCUGGACAUUUCCUGACGCUGAGGCACGAAAGCCAGGGGAGCAAACGGG